Molecule: ribosomal RNA, 253 nt
Filed under: uncultured bacterium
Lineage: Bacteria
Description: partial 16S ribosomal RNA
Rfam family: Bacterial small subunit ribosomal RNA
Source: RNAcentral
UACGUAGGGGGCAAGCGUUGUCCGGAAUUAUUGGGCGUAAAGGGCUCGUAGGCGGUUUGUCGCGUCGGGAGUGAAAAUCCAGGGCUUAACUCUGGACUGGCUUCCGAUACGGGCAGACUAGAGGUAUGCAGGGGAGAACGGAAUUCCUGGUGUAGCGGUGAAAUGCGCAGAUAUCAGGAGGAACACCGGUGGCGAAGGCGGUUCUCUGGGCAUUACCUGACGCUGAGGAGCGAAAGUGUGGGGAGCGAACAGG